UACGUAGGGGGCUAGCGUUGUCCGGAUUUAUUGGGCGUAAAGAGCGUGUAGGCGGCCAGGUAGGUCCGGUGUGAAAACUCGAGGCUUAACCUCGAGAUGUCAUCGGAAACCAAUCUGGCUAGAGUCCGGAAGAGGAAGGUGGAAUUCCUGGUGUAGCGGUGAAAUGCGCAGAUAUCAGGAAGAACACCAAUGGCGAAAGCAGCUUUCUGGGACGGUACUGACGCUGAGACGCGAAAGCGUGGGGAGCGAACAGG
Molecule: ribosomal RNA, 254 nt
Filed under: uncultured bacterium
Lineage: Bacteria
Description: partial 16S ribosomal RNA
Rfam family: Bacterial small subunit ribosomal RNA
Source: RNAcentral